RNAcentral lists this ribosomal RNA (461 nucleotides) under uncultured bacterium. Its description in RNAcentral is "partial 16S ribosomal RNA". It matches the Rfam family "Bacterial small subunit ribosomal RNA", at positions 338 to 795 of the family's 1533-position model. The record is from RNAcentral.
CCUACGUGAGGCUGCAGUGAGGAAUAUUGGUCAAUGGGCUUACGCCUGAACCAGCCAAGUCGCGUGAGGGAAGACUGCCCUAUGGGUUGUAAACCUCUUUUGUCAGGGAGCAACGCCGGCUACGUGUAGCCGGACUGAGAGUACCUGAAGAAAAAGCAUCGGCUAACUCCGUGCCAGCAGCCGCGGUAAUACGGAGGAUGCGAGCGUUAUCCGGAUUUAUUGGGUUUAAAGGUUGCGUAGGCUGUCGGAUAAGUUAGAGGUCAAAUGUCGGGGCUUAACCCCGUGCCUGCCUCUGAUACUGUUCGACUAGAGAGCGGAUGCAGCAGGCGGAAUGAGUAGUGUAGCGGUGAAAUGCUUAGAUAUUACUCAGAACACCGAUUGCGCAGGCAGCUUGCUAAUCCGCAUCUGACGCUGAUGCACGAAAGCGUGGGUAGCGAACAGGAUUAGAUACCCCAGUAGUC